This 253-nucleotide ribosomal RNA is filed under the name uncultured bacterium. RNAcentral describes it as "partial 16S ribosomal RNA". It matches the Rfam family "Bacterial small subunit ribosomal RNA", at positions 524 to 776 of the family's 1533-position model. The record is from RNAcentral.
UACGUAGGGUGCGAGCGUUGUCCGGAAUUAUUGGGCGUAAAGAGCUCGUAGGCGGCUUGUCGCGUCGACCGUGAAAACCCGGGGCUCAACUCUGGGCUUGCAGUCGAUACGGGCAGGCUUGAGUGCGGUAGGGGAGACUGGAAUUCCUGGUGUAGCGGUGGAAUGCGCAGAUAUCAGGAGGAACACCGAUGGCGAAGGCAGCUCGCUGGGACGGAACUGACGCUGAGGCGCGAAAGCGUGGGGAGCGAACAGG